Molecule: ribosomal RNA, 253 nt
Filed under: uncultured bacterium
Lineage: Bacteria
Description: partial 16S ribosomal RNA
Rfam family: Bacterial small subunit ribosomal RNA
Source: RNAcentral
UACGGAGGGAGCUAGCGUUGUUCGGAAUUACUGGGCGUAAAGCGCGCGUAGGCGGCUUUUUAAGUCAGGGGUGAAAUCCCGGGGCUCAACCCCGGAACUGCCCUUGAAACUGGAGAGCUAGAAUCCUGGAGAGGCGAGUGGAAUUCCGAGUGUAGAGGUGAAAUUCGUAGAUAUUCGGAAGAACACCAGUGGCGAAGGCGACUCGCUGGACAGGUAUUGACGCUGAGGUGCGAAAGCGUGGGGAGCAAACAGG